CAAAGGGCCUCAAACAAGGAGACCAUUUUCCUGACAAGCAGACAGGCCUGUCCUUCCUAUAUGACGGACCUGAUGUAGGUCACCACAAUGAGACUUGACAGGGAGCAUCCGUGUGGCCAAAAAAGAGGGUUCAAGUUCAACAUUACAGAUUUUGAGCAUGAAAACUCAGCCAACCCUUGAACAUCAUUCACCAGAAAUGCUGCAUUUUUGAUACUGAUUUCAGAAGCUCCAAAAGCUUACGAGCUUCUCUGUAAUCUUUACCUGUCACUGAACUGUAAUGCAACAGGCCGAAAAGUCGAAGAGGAAUAACAUAUACCCCUCCUGUUCGAGACGCUCGUUCCCAGGGCAUGAUAUGUAGGAGGAUCCUAUCA
Long non-coding RNA from Stegostoma tigrinum, 371 nucleotides. RefSeq lists it as uncharacterized. The transcript has 3 exons. NCBI's taxonomy places the organism in Eukaryota, Metazoa, Chordata, Chondrichthyes, Orectolobiformes, Stegostomatidae. The record is from RefSeq and is a predicted model, not a curated record.